RNAcentral lists this ribosomal RNA (433 nucleotides) under uncultured bacterium. RNAcentral's name for it is "partial 16S ribosomal RNA". It matches the Rfam family "Bacterial small subunit ribosomal RNA", at positions 29 to 507 of the family's 1533-position model. The record is from RNAcentral.
AACGAACGCUGGCGGCAUGCCUAACACAUGCAAGUCGAACGAGAACUUCGGGUCUAGUGGCGCACGGGUGCGUAACGCGUGGGAACCUGCCCUUAGGUUCGGAAUAACUCCCCGAAAGGGGUGCUAAUACCGGAUAAUGUCUUAGGACCAAAGAUUUAUCGCCUUUGGAUGGGCCCGCGUUGGAUUAGCUAGUUGGUAGGGUAAAAGCCUACCAAGGCGACGAUCCAUAGCUGGUCUGAGAGGAUGAUCAGCCACACUGGGACUGAGACACGGCCCAGACUCCUACGGGAGGCAGCAGUGGGGAAUAUUGGACAAUGGGCGAAAGCCUGAUCCAGCAAUGCCGCGUGAGUGAUGAAGGCCUUAGGGUUGUAAAUCUCUUUUACCCGGGAUGAUAAUGACAGUACCGGGAGAAUAAGCUCCGGCUAACUCCGUG